AUUGACCGCUGGCGGCAGGCCUAACACAUGCCAGUCGAGCGGAGCGGCGGACGGGUGCGUAAUGCCUAUGAAUCUGCCUGGUCGUGGGGGAUAACGUCCGGAAACGGGCGCUAAUACCGCAUACUAUCAGAUGAGCCUAGGUCGGAUUAGCUAGUUGGUGGGGUAAAGGCCUACCAAGGCGACGAUCCGUAACUGGUCUGAGAGGAUGAUCAGUCCAACUGGAACUGUGACACGGUCCAGAAUACAGCGGUAGGCAGCAGUGGGGAAUAUUGGACAAUGGGGGAAAGCGUGAUCAAGCCAUGCCGCGUGUGUGAAGAAGGGAUUCGGAGUGUAAAGCACUUUAAGUGGGGAGGCGUUACAAACAGAAUAAGCACCGGCUAACUUCGUGGUAGCAGCCGCGGUAAUAC
Molecule: ribosomal RNA, 407 nt
Filed under: uncultured bacterium
Lineage: Bacteria
Description: partial 16S ribosomal RNA
Rfam family: Bacterial small subunit ribosomal RNA
Source: RNAcentral